Molecule: small nucleolar RNA, 137 nt
Organism: Xenia sp. Carnegie-2017
Lineage: Eukaryota; Metazoa; Cnidaria; Anthozoa; Malacalcyonacea; Xeniidae
Product: U8 small nucleolar RNA
Exons: 1
Source: RefSeq, a predicted model, not a curated record
UCAUCAGUAGGGUGAUCCUUACCUGUAGUCCUUCGGGACACAGUGAGGACACAUGAUGAAAGGUGAGAGUAAUGAUGUGCACUGACUUACUUCUCUGGAUUUGUUGGGAUCGCAACACCCUCAUUUCCCUUUCUGAU